Long non-coding RNA from Oncorhynchus masou masou (cherry salmon), 1162 nucleotides. RefSeq lists it as uncharacterized. Lineage: Eukaryota; Metazoa; Chordata; Actinopteri; Salmoniformes; Salmonidae. The transcript is spliced from 3 exons. The record is from RefSeq and is a predicted model, not a curated record.
GCUCCGGUAUGCAGCUGGCAGGGCCUUCUGAAGAGAAUGAGCUAAGUGGACAUUAACAUUAAUCAGCUGUUAUAAAAGUAACACUUCAGUGGAAUUUCUAGCUUCUUUUUACCACCAUCUUCAGUGCUGUGUUUUUGCAAGAAAGGCUACGUUGAUAGGCUCCUGGAUCACCUCAAAGAGGUCACCCUUGAUCCAGUGCCAUAUGUGGAGAAGCUGUGCAAGCUGUCCAUCCCAGGACCACUGUCUGCCCAGGAGGAGGCCAUAGCUGGAUUUGUCUCUUCGCUUCAAUCUUGGGGGUGACCGAUACCAGAUGCACCAUCGAGAGCAUCCUGUCGGGCUGUAUCACCGCCUGGUAUGGCAACUGCUCCGCCCACAACCGUAAGGCUCUCCAGAGGGUAGUGAGGUCUGCACAACGCAUCACCGGGGGCAAACUACCUGUCCCUCCAGGUCACCUACACCACCCAAUGUCACAGGAAGGUCAUAAAGAUCAUCAAGGACAACCACCCAAGCCACUACCUGUUCACCCCGCUAUCAUCCAGAAGUCGAGGUCAGUACAGGUGCAUCAAAGCUGGGACCGAGAGACUGAAAAACAGCUUCUAUCUCAAGGCCAUCAGGCUGUUAAACAGCCACCACUAACAUUGAGUGGCUGCUGCCAACAUGCUGACUCGACUUCGGCCACUUUAAUAAUGGAAAUUGCUGUAAUACAUGUCUCACUAGCCAUUUUAAACUAUGCCACUUUUAUGUUUACAUACCGUACAUUACUCAUCUCAUAUGUAUAUACUGUACUCGAUACCAUCUACUGCAUCUUGCCUAUGCUGUUCUGUACCAUCACUCAUUCAUAUAUCUUUAUGUACAUAUUCUUUAUCCCUUUACACUUGUGUGUAUAAGGUAGUAGUUGUGGAAUUGUUAGAUUAGAUUACUCGUUGGUUAUUACUGCAUUGUCGGAACUAGAAGCAUAAGCAUUUCGCUACACUUGCAUUAACAUCUGCUAACCAUGUGUAGGUGACAAAUAAAAUUUGAUUUGAUUUGAAUCUGUGGUUUUUGGCCUGACUUCAAACACUAUAGCACUAGCAAUAUAAAACACAUAUAUAUUGUUGGGGCCAAUUCAUAUGGGCACUAGGUCAAUGGUAUUACGCAGCACUAUUGAAACUGGUAUGCUAAA